Non-coding RNA from Podarcis lilfordi (Lilford's wall lizard), 77 nucleotides. The record is from the annotation of a GenBank genome assembly. Lineage: Eukaryota; Metazoa; Chordata; Lepidosauria; Squamata; Lacertidae.
GGACAAAAGCCAUGGCUCAGUGGUAGAGCAUUUGCUUUGGAGACAGACGGUCUCAGGUUUGAUCCCUGAAAUGUCCA